Long non-coding RNA from Telopea speciosissima, 152 nucleotides. RefSeq lists it as uncharacterized. The record is from RefSeq and is a predicted model, not a curated record. Lineage: Eukaryota; Viridiplantae; Streptophyta; Magnoliopsida; Proteales; Proteaceae. The transcript has 3 exons.
CCACCCUGCUUAGUGAAAAUUCAAGGAUUUUUCAUCUUGAUUCUUAACUUCCUGGCUAUUUGUGCUGCUCUAGGGUGAACUGGCCUCUUACUGCUAUCACACUGCUCAACCUUCACCCAGUUUAUAACCUUGAGCAUGAGAGAUUGUGAGAC